RNAcentral lists this long non-coding RNA (4351 nucleotides) under Daucus carota (carrot). Its description in RNAcentral is "long non-coding RNA (DCAR_LNC001547)". Lineage: Eukaryota; Viridiplantae; Streptophyta; Magnoliopsida; Apiales; Apiaceae. The record is from RNAcentral.
UAUAAAACAAUAAUUAAAAUAUCAACAUUUAAAAAGUUUGUUGUUUAAAAAGAUUGUACUACAUGUGUGUGUGUACAUAUGAAAAAUGUAUAUGUUGAUCACUAUUUUAAUGGAAAUUUCGGAGUCGAUAUGAUAAUGUUUUGCAAUCAAAUAAUAUAAAGUCUCAAAAGUCUCCGAUAAAAAUGUGGUCUUCAUAUACCUUAUAUAUAUUUGUGUGUGACUGGGGCAAGACUUUGUUCUUUGAUUUGAUCUUGGUAGAAUUGGCUCACUAUUUUAGGAAAAUUACGUAGUACUCUUGUAGCAAUUUUUAUUACCAACAAAUAUUUUUGUUCGCUUUCAGUUAUUGGACGAUAAUACUAGGGGUGCUUAAUGUUAUUCGCUUACAUAAUAUCAGUUUGUAGCCAUUAGCUUGACAUGCAUUCACCUGUUAGUUUCCCUUUUACCUAGACACAAUUGGCUUUUGUUUUGAAAUUAAGAGAUUUAAUCUUGUUUAAUUAAUUAUUUUUCAACUUCAGUUUCUACGAAGCACAUGAUGUGGGGGUAGUUUGCAAACUGAUAAUUAAUAUUCCUUCCGUCCCCUUUUACAUUUCCAUUUUGAUAUUUAAGAAGUCAAAUUGACCAAUUUUUGACUAAACAUUACAAAUUAUUUAUUAAUUAUUUAUAAUAUCUGAAAGUUGCAUAUGAAAAUAGACUCAAUAUACUUUCUGAAGAUAUAAUUUUUAUUAUUUUUUCCAAUAAUAUGACCAGUGUUAUUAAACACGAUAUGCGCAUCGAAGCGCAAAGGCCUUCCGGGGCAUAAGCGCAACGCGCGGAUUCAUCGAAAACAUGUAAAAUAUACAUAUAUAGACGUAUAUAUUGUAAAACAUUAUAUACUUAUAGAUAAUAAAACAUUAAUAAACAAAAGUCAGUUAUCAAAAAUCAUAAUGCAAGCAGGAUACAAAAAUUUAAAGCCUAGAAUAGUUUAAAGUCUAAAGGCAGAGUGGCAAAUAAAUGUGAAAUUAUCCACUAAAUCACUAAUCAUCUUCUUCAUCUUCAUCAAUAUUCACAAAAUCAUCUUCUUCUUCACUAUUUUGAUUUGGAUCUUCAACAAAUUAAAUUUCUUCUUCAUCCUCGUCCUCAUUCUCAACGAUUGCUUCAUCAAUCAAACGUCUUUUAGAUGAUGAUCCCAAAGUAGUAUGUUUCCCUUUUGAGGAUCCCACCAAGGCACGCGACCUAUUAUAAUAUAGAAUACACAAAUAAAUAUAAUUUUAAGUUAAUUUUUCAGAAUUUUAAGCGUUAGGAUUAAAUCUACAAAGUCCUAAGUGUUAAAUCUGACCUAGUAGAGUAACGAGCCUCUCCGGCUCCGGAGGCAAUUUCAACAUCUUUGUAUGUUAAUCCAUCCUCUUCGGAAAAAACAUACUCAUUCUCAUUAUUUUCACCAUCUUUGUCAAAACUUCCAACCAGCCAUUCAUUGCUUUCAUCAAUUUCAUUUAAUGAGAUAGGAUCAAUGAUGUUACGAAGUUCAUAUCUAUGCUUCAAAGCUCUAUUGUACUUGACAAACACCAAAUCAUUCAACUUUUGUUGUUCAAGUCGGUUCCUUUUUUUUGCUAUGAAGCUACAUAGAGUAAACAAACACUUUAGAGUCAUUAAUCUUAAAGAGACGUUUAAAAAGGUUGUUUAUAGUAACUUACAUGCUCAAAUACACUCCAAUUCCUCUCGCAUCCGGAUGAGCUACAUGUGAGACUAAGGAUCCGAAUCGCAAAAGUUUGCAAAUCCGGAGUGUGUUUUCCAUAAGCACCCCACCAGGCAGCUAUAAAACAGAUUAGAAUCGAUGAUUUUAACAAGAAUUCUGGGCAGAUUUUACUAACAACAGAAAGAAUUUUGGGGUCUGGGCAGAUUUUAGUCAAUUUACUAAUAGAACAGGGCAGAAUUUUAGAGGGCAGAUUGGCAGAAUUAGUUAAUGUGUACCUGGGGAUUUAGUUGUUCGUUGUCUAAUAGCCAUUGGCAAGCCAAACAAUCCUUCUGCUCUCUUGUAUAUCUCCAAUUGCUCUCCGAUUUUAUCUUGCACCGAGACAUCUGCAAUCAUUCGUUCAAUGCAUUUGUACAAUCCAACUGAGACCUCUUUAUCCUUCUCAAUCUCGGGAUUUUUGUAAUAAAAUUCCGGAUUAAGAUAGUAGCCAGCAGCGUGUAAAGGCUGAUGCAAUUGAAUAUCCCAUCUAUUGUCAAUAAUGUCAUAAUAUUCUUGGUAUCUCGCCUCAUUUUUGUUAAAAGCAUCUGCAAUUGCCUCUUUGGCUCUAUCCAUAGCCUCGUAUAUGUAGCCCAUAGGUGGUCUAUUCUCUCCAUCAACCAACCGAAGAACACCUACAAGAGGACCAGCCACUUUACAUGAACGAACGACACUAUUCCAAAAACUAGGCAUCAUCACGAUACUAGCAAUUUUCUUUCCAUUCGGUUCCUUGUAAUAGGGGCUGGUAAUCCAUCUUUGUGAAGUGAACAUCCGAAAAAGAUUUGCCUUUUGCUUACGGAUCCUAGACAAAGUGAGAAAGGCAGUGGAAAAUCGUGUCUUUGCUGGCCUAACUAACUCUUUGUGUGAAGUGAACUCUCUUAGCAUAUUCACCAUCCCACACUUUGAGUAUAUAAAGGAGUUCAAAGCCAUAGCAUUAUUGAUGCAGUUUUUAAACCUUGGAAUGGUGAAAAUGUCUUCCAAGAUGAGAUCAAUACAGUGUGCUGCACAAGGUGUCCAGAACAAAUGAGGAUAUCGUAUUGUCAACAUCCUACCUGCUGCCUUGUUAUUAGAAGCGCUAUCCGUGACAACUUGAACGACAUAUUGCGGCCCAAUCCUCUCGACGAACUUGGAAAUCAACUCAAAUAACAAAUCAGCUGUCUUUGCAACAGCAGAUGCAUCAACAGAUUCAAGAAAAAAGCUACCUCGCGGAGUGUUAACUAAGAAAUUGAUAAGAGUUCGCUUCUACCGAUCUUCCCAUCCAUCAUACAUGAUAGAACAACCACUCCUCACCCACUCUUCAUGUAAUUUCAUCAAAGUUCGUGUCUCCUCAACCUCGUCUUUCAAUAAUGGAACUCGUACUUCAUGGUAGCUAGGUGGCUUCAUUCCCGCUCCAUACUGCCCUUGAGCUUCAACGUACACCGGAAAACUCGGAUAAUUAACAGCAUUAAAUGGAAUUCCAGCAUCAUACAUCCACCUGGCAAAUGCUUUACAGGCCCUCUUUCUUAACUCCUUUCUUGCUGUGUCAUUUUCAUCUAUCCUUGGUUGCACUCCCUUUCUUUUCUUCACUACAAGCUCCGGAUCAGGUGUCAUGUAAAGAUCCAUAGGACCCUUAACCUUCAUUUUUGUAGAACUCCCAGCAGAUGGUUGAGCAGAUGGAUGAUGGCCUCGAGGCUGUGUAGGACAUCCUGUUUCACCAUCAUCAUCAGAAAAUUCAGGUUCAAAAUCAUCUAAAUUCAUAGUAUCUUUUGAUUUUUUUUUUGAUUCCAUGAAAGCUAUCACUUCCUGCCUGACUUCUUCAGAUACUUUUGUGCAACCUUUAGCAUUUCUUCUCCCUCCCAUGAGAUGCUCUUUCAUUCUAAAUACUCCACCCGUUGUAACUUUGCCACAAAAAUUACAACGGAGUCGAACGCUGUUCCCUUCCACUACUGUAGCAGAAUAUUUCCAGGCAACAUCCUUUGAUUUAUCACUCAUCUUGCUGAAAUCUAACCAAGUGCAGAAGAAAGAAAAGAUGUAUCAACUAAAGAAAGCAGCCCAGAAUCAGAAUCGGUGAAAGAAGGAAAGAAGAUGUCUAUAUAUAUGUAUGUAUAUAGAAGAAUAAGAAGAUAAGGUAUAUGUAUGUAUAUCCUAUGUAAUUAAGAGAGAGAGAGAGAGAGAGAGAUAACUAUCAAAGAGAGUCCAGAAGAAGAAAGGAUAAUUAAAAGAAAGAUAAUUAUCAGAAGAGAGUCCAGAAUAAGAAGGGGAGUGUAAGUAAAAGAAAGAUAAUUACCAGAGAGAUCCAGAGGAAGAAAGAAGUAAAUUUGCCCUAGGUAUCUUUGUUUCUCGGCCGCUGAGCAGUGCUUUUAGGGUUUUUUUAUGACCCAUGUCUAUUUAAAAAGCUUAGUCAAUGGCCCAGUUAAGCUAGUCAACAGCCCAGUCAACUAUUACACAAAAGCGCGCUUUUUUUGCGCUUCUCGCAUCUCGCUUAAUCCCUGGAAGCGCAGAAAAGCGCUCGCAUCAUUGAACUCGCAUCGCAUAUACUAAGCGAUGCGCAUAAGCUGCGCAUAAGCGCGCUUCUCGCUUAUGCGCGCGCAUAAGCGCGCUUUUAAUAACACUGAAUAUGAUGUAUGUAAAUUAUAGUUAAAAUAUAGGUAAUUUGACUGGUCAAAA